This is a regulatory RNA element of 76 nucleotides. It matches the Rfam family "6C RNA". The record is from Rfam.
CGUGGUUCAGCUCGACCCCCCGGGGCUGAACCCAACGACGACCCCCGCCACUCCCCCCUGGCGGGGGUCGUCCCAU